GACGAAGGUGGCAAGCGUUGUUCGGAAUCACUGGGCUUAAAGCGCACGUAGGCGGCCCUUCAAGUACCUUGUGAAAUCCCCCGGCUCAACCGGGGAAUUGCUUGGUAGACUGCAGGGCUUGAGGCAGGUAGGGGCGAGUGGAACUCUUGGUGGAGCGGUGGAAUGCGUAGAGAUUCGGAAGAACACCGAAGGCGAAGGCAGUGUCCUGGCUCGUUUCUGACGCUCAAGCACGAAAGCUAGGGGAGCGAAC
RNAcentral lists this ribosomal RNA (250 nucleotides) under uncultured bacterium. Its description in RNAcentral is "partial 16S ribosomal RNA". It matches the Rfam family "Bacterial small subunit ribosomal RNA", at positions 524 to 773 of the family's 1533-position model. The record is from RNAcentral.